RNAcentral lists this ribosomal RNA (1051 nucleotides) under uncultured bacterium. Its description in RNAcentral is "bacterial SSU rRNA". It matches the Rfam family "Bacterial small subunit ribosomal RNA", at positions 65 to 1121 of the family's 1533-position model. The record is from RNAcentral.
CGCUGAAGCCUGGUGCUUGCACCGGGUGGAUGAGUGGCGAACGGGUGAGUAACACGUGAGUAACCUGCCCCUGACUUCGGGAUAAGCCCGGGAAACUGGGUCUAAUACCGGAUACGACUGCCGGACGCAUGUCUGGUGGUGGAAAGUUUUUUCGGUUGGGGAUGGGCUCGCGGCCUAUCAGUUUGUUGGUGAGGUAAUGGCUCACCAAGACGACGACGGGUAGCCGGCCUGAGAGGGCGACCGGCCACACUGGGACUGAGACACGGCCCAGACUCCUACGGGAGGCAGCAGUGGGGAAUAUUGCACAAUGGGGGAAACCCUGAUGCAGCGACGCAGCGUGCGGGAUGACGGCCUUCGGGUUGUAAACCGCUUUCAGCAGGGAAGAAGCGCAAGUGACGGUACCUGCAGAAGAAGUACCGGCUAACUACGUGCCAGCAGCCGCGGUAAUACGUAGGGUACGAGCGUUGUCCGGAAUUAUUGGGCGUAAAGAGCUCGUAGGUGGUUGGUCACGUCUGCUGUGGAAACGCAACGCUUAACGUUGCGCGUGCAGUGGGUACGGGCUGACUAGAGUGCAGUAGGGGAGUCUGGAAUUCCUGGUGUAGCGGUGAAAUGCGCAGAUAUCAGGAGGAACACCGGUGGCGAAGGCGGGACUCUGGGCUGUAACUGACACUGAGGAGCGAAAGCAUGGGGAGCGAACAGGAUUAGAUACCCUGGUAGUCCAUGCCGUAAACGUUGGGCACUAGGUGUGGGGGGGCAUUCCACGUUCUCCGCGCCGUAGCUAACGCAUUAAGUGCCCCGCCUGGGGGAGUACGGUCGCAAGGCUAAAACUCAAAGGAAUUGACGGGGGCCCGCACAAGCGGCGGAGCAUGCGGAUUAAUUCGAUGCAACGCGAAGAACCUUACCAAGGCUUGACAUACACCGGACCGUCCUGGAAACAGGUCCUCUUCUUUGAAGCUGGUGUACAGGUGGUUGCAUGGUUGUCGUCAGCUCGUGUCGUGAGAUGUUUGGGUUAAGUCCCGCAACGAGCGCAACCCUCGUUCUAUGUUGCCAG